UUGGUGGCGACCGGCGCACGGGUGCGUAACGCGUAUGUAACCUACCUUAUACAGGGGCAUAACACUGAGAAAUUGGUACUAAUUCCCCAUAACACUUUAGAGGGCAUCCUUUAGAGUUAAAAGUUCCGGCGGUAUAAGAUGGACAUGCGUUGUAUUAGCUAGUUGGUGAGGUAACGGCUCACCAAGGCGACGAUACAUAGGGGGACUGAGAGGUUAACCCCCCACAUUGGUACUGAGACACGGACCAAACUCCUACGGGAGGCAGCAGUGAGGAAUAUUGGUCAAUGGACGCAAGUCUGAACCAGCCAUGCCGCGUGCAGGAUGACGGCUCUACGAGUUGUAAACUGCUUUUGUACGAGGGUAAACCUAGAUACGUGUAUCUAGCUGAAAGUACCGUACGAAUAAGGAUCGGCUAACUCCGUGCCAGCAGCCGCGGUAAUACGGAGGAUCCAAGCGUUAUCCGGAUUUAUUGGGUUUAAAGGGUGCGUAGGCGGUUUGAUAAGUUAGAGGUGAAAGCUCGGGGCUCAACUCCGGAACUGCCUCUAAUACUGUUGAACUAGAGAGUAGAUGCGGUAGGCGGAAUGUAUGGUGUAGCGGUGAAAUGCGUAGAGAUCAUACAGAACACCGAUUGCGAAGGCAGCUUACCAAACUAUAUCUGACGUUGAGGCACGAAAGCGUGGGUAGCAAACAGGAUUAGAUA
This 700-nucleotide ribosomal RNA is filed under the name uncultured bacterium. Its description in RNAcentral is "bacterial SSU rRNA". It matches the Rfam family "Bacterial small subunit ribosomal RNA", at positions 85 to 784 of the family's 1533-position model. The record is from RNAcentral.